Molecule: ribosomal RNA, 427 nt
Filed under: uncultured bacterium
Lineage: Bacteria
Description: bacterial SSU rRNA
Rfam family: Bacterial small subunit ribosomal RNA
Source: RNAcentral
UGGGGAAUUUUGGACAAUGGGCGAAAGCCUGAUCCAGCCAUGCCGCGUGAGUGAAGAAGGCCUUCGGGUUGUAAAGCUCUUUUAGUCGGAAAGAAAGAGUUGCAAUGAAUAAUUGUGAUUUAUGACGGUACCGACAGAAAAAGCACCGGCUAACUACGUGCCAGCAGCCGCGGUAAUACGUAGGGUGCAAGCGUUAAUCGGAAUUACUGGGCGUAAAGGGUGCGCAGGCGGUCUUGCAAGUCAGAUGUGAAAGCCCCGGGCUUAACCUGGGAAUUGCGUUUGAAACUACAAGACUAGAGUGCAGCAGAGGGGAGUGGAAUUCCAUGUGUAGCAGUGAAAUGCGUAGAGAUGUGGAAGAACACCGAUGGCGAAGGCAGCUCCCUGGGUUGACACUGACGCUGAGGCGCGAAAGCGUGGGGAGCAAACA